Molecule: ribosomal RNA, 468 nt
Filed under: uncultured bacterium
Lineage: Bacteria
Description: bacterial SSU rRNA
Rfam family: Bacterial small subunit ribosomal RNA
Source: RNAcentral
GCCAGACUCCUACGGGAGGCAGCAGUGAGGAAUAUUGGUCAAUGGCCGAGAGGCUGAACCAGCCAAGUCGCGUGAGGGAAGACGGCCCUACGGGUUGUAAACCUCUUUUGUCGGGGAGCAAAGCGAACCACGUGUGGUUCAUUGAGAGUACCCGAAGAAAAAGCAUCGGCUAACUCCGUGCCAGCAGCCGCGGUAAUACGUAGGGUGCGAGCGUUAAUCGGAAUUACUGGGCGUAAAGGGUGUGCAGGCGGUGUUGCAAGAUGGAUGUGAAAGACCCGGGCUUAACCUGGGAAAGCCAUACAUGACUGCAAGACUAGAGUGCGUCAGAGGGGGGUGGAAUUCCAAGUGUAGCAGUGAAAUGCGUAGAUAUUUGGAAGAACACCGAUGGCGAAGGCAGCACCCUGGGACGCAACUGACGCUCAUAAACGAAAGCGUGGGGAGCAAACAGGAUUAGAUACCCCAGUACAA